RNAcentral lists this unclassified non-coding RNA (404 nucleotides) under soil metagenome. RNAcentral's name for it is "partial contains 5.8S ribosomal RNA, internal transcribed spacer 2, and large subunit ribosomal RNA". The stretch from base 1 to 122 matches the Rfam family "5.8S ribosomal RNA", at positions 35 to 154 of the family's 154-position model. The record is from RNAcentral.
GAUGAAGAACGUAGCAAAAUGCGAUACUUGGUGUGAAUUGCAGAAUCCCGUGAACCAUCGAGUUUUUGAACGCAAGUUGCGCCCGAAGCCUUUUGGCCGAGGGCACGUCUGCCUGGGCGUCACGCAUCGCGUCGCCCCCCACAAUUCUCCGUAAAAGGAACAUGUGUUUUGGGGGCGGAUAUUGGUCUCCCGUGCUCAUGGCGUGGUUGGCCGAAAUAGGAGUCCCUUCGAUGGACGCACGAACUAGUGGUGGUCGUAAAAACCCUCGUCUUUUGUUUCGUGCUGUUAGUCGCAAGGGAAACUCUAAGAAAACCCCAACGUGUCGUCUUUUGACGGCGCUUCGACCGCGACCCCAGGUCAGGCGGGACUACCCGCUGAGUUUAAGCAUAUCAAUAAGCGGAGGA